AACAACGAAAAAACAUGAAUCGAUUUAUCAAAAUCGUGGAAAACAAAACAAUCGACUUUCUGAUCGGUUUCCAAAUAAAAUUGAUCACUCGUCGUCGUCUUCUUCUUGCUGAGAUUUGUCCUUCUUGGUUUCACGGAACAUAUUGUAUCAGUGGGAUAGGUAUUACAGAACAAGGCAAGUACCUACAAUUGAUGUUCGAACUCUGGAUAAAAGAACAAGGCAAGUACCUGCAAUUGAUGUUCGAACCCAGCAAAUAUUCUGGCAUCUGCACACGAGAAGCUGUGUGCAACAGAAAUGGUCCAGGGAUGUUUAAAUUUGCCCAUUAGUCGAAUAAAAAGUGCUAGCUUGGCCAGUUCUGUACUCAGAGAAAGAUGAACGUGGGUAGAAUGAACUAAAUUUCAAUGAUGGUGGAUCUCUAAAAGAACCAAAGUUUAAUAAUACUUUUCAAUCAUAUUGUUUUGUUAUACUUGUAAUAGUUCUUUGUUCAAAGUUUCUUGGUGGUUGAGUAAUAUUAAUCUUCCAGUGAUCAGAAAUUGUAAUUUCUUUACUAUGUACAGCUAAUAUUGUUGGUUCGCCUUUAUCAUCUUGUA
Molecule: long non-coding RNA, 590 nt
Organism: Camelina sativa (false flax)
Lineage: Eukaryota; Viridiplantae; Streptophyta; Magnoliopsida; Brassicales; Brassicaceae
Source: RefSeq, a predicted model, not a curated record